CAGUACGAUGUCGUCAAGCGCUUCGACAUGGGCCAGUCCCCCACCACCGACGAGGCCCAGGCGAUCGCCGACGAGGUGUACUCUGAGUUUGUCGGCGAGGAGGUUGACAAGGUUGAGCUCGUGUACUCGCGCUUCGUGUCCCUCAUCUCCGCCGAGCCCUCCAUCCAGACCCUGCUCCCCAUGUCCAAGGAGGGCGAGAUCUGCGACGUCAACGGCAAGUGCAUCGACGCCAAGGAGGACAUCAUGUUCACCCUCACCUCCGAGGAUGGCAAGUUCGCCGUGAAGGGUACCCCCGUGGAGACCGAGGUUGCCGGCUUCGAGGGUGUCAUGCAGUUCGAGCAGGACCCCAACCAGAUCCUCGACGCGCUCCU
This 371-nucleotide long non-coding RNA is filed under the name Micromonas commoda. RNAcentral describes it as "long non-coding RNA (MCOM_LNC000196)". Lineage: Eukaryota; Viridiplantae; Chlorophyta; Mamiellophyceae; Mamiellales; Mamiellaceae. The record is from RNAcentral.